UACGGAAGGCAGCGGGUGGGGAAUAUUGCACAAUGGGCGCAAGCCUGAUGCAGCCAUGCCGCGUGUAUGAAGAAGGCCUUCGGGUUGUAAAGUACUUUCAGUCGUGAGGAAGGUGUUAAGGUUAAUAACCUUAGCAAUUGACGUUAGCGACAGAAGAAGCACCGGCUAACUCCGUGCCAGCAGCCGCGGUAAUACGGAGGGUGCGAGCGUUAAUCGGAAUUACUGGGCGUAAAGGGCACGCAGGCGGUUAAUUAAGUUGGAUGUGAAAUCCCCGGGCUUAACCUGGGAAUGGCAUUCAAGACUGGUUAGCUAGAGUCUUGUAGAGGGGGUAGAAUUCCAUGUGUAGCGGUGAAAUGCGUAGAGAUGUGGAGGAAUACCGGUGGCGAAGGCGGCCCCUGGACAAAGACUGACGCUCAUGUGCGAAAGCGUGGGGAGCAAACAGGGAUUAGAUACC
RNAcentral lists this ribosomal RNA (454 nucleotides) under uncultured bacterium. RNAcentral's name for it is "bacterial SSU rRNA". It matches the Rfam family "Bacterial small subunit ribosomal RNA", at positions 340 to 786 of the family's 1533-position model. The record is from RNAcentral.